Molecule: small nucleolar RNA, 82 nt
Filed under: Carlito syrichta (Philippine tarsier)
Lineage: Eukaryota; Metazoa; Chordata; Mammalia; Primates; Tarsiidae
Description: Small nucleolar RNA SNORD115 (ENSTSYG00000035875.1)
Rfam family: Small nucleolar RNA SNORD115
About the family: HBII-52 is a member of the C/D class of snoRNAs, which contain the C (UGAUGA) and D (CUGA) box motifs.
Source: Rfam by way of RNAcentral
GGGUCAGUCAUGAGUACAUUAUGUUGCCUUGAGAGGUGGUGAUGACUUAUAUAUCAAGUACAAUGUCAUGACACUGAGGCCC